RNAcentral lists this small RNA (216 nucleotides) under Arabidopsis thaliana (thale cress). Its description in RNAcentral is "ATSL139360". Lineage: Eukaryota; Viridiplantae; Streptophyta; Magnoliopsida; Brassicales; Brassicaceae. The record is from RNAcentral.
UAUAUAUAUAAUUAUAAUCUGAAAUUUUCUGAACAAAAAGUUAAACUAAAAACAUGUUAAAAGAAAUGUUAACUUACAAAAAAAGAAGAGGAAACGAUGAUAUCUACCAGAAAUUUAAAAAAUAAAUAAAUCGAAAGGGAAUAGAUGGAAUAAUUAAAGAUUGCAAAAGAUAAGCCCAAAAGAUUUAGGGUUUAGGACUUGCUUUGUAUAUAUAGC